RNAcentral lists this unclassified non-coding RNA (378 nucleotides) under soil metagenome. RNAcentral's name for it is "partial contains 5.8S ribosomal RNA, internal transcribed spacer 2, and large subunit ribosomal RNA". The stretch from base 1 to 121 matches the Rfam family "5.8S ribosomal RNA", at positions 35 to 154 of the family's 154-position model. The record is from RNAcentral.
GAUGAAGAACGUAGCGAAAUGCGAUAAGUGAUGUGAAUUGCAGAUUUCCAGUGAAUCAUCGAAUCUUUGAACGCACCUUGCGCCCCUUGGUAUUCCGAGGGGCAUGCCUGUUUGAGUGUCAUUAAACCAUCAACCUCGGGGUUUUCGAGCCUUGGGGAUUGGAGUUGGAGUGUGCUGGUGGAAACCCCCAUCGGCUCCUCUCAAAUGCAUAAGCGGGAAACCCUUUACUUCCGAAAGUCGGUGUGAUAAGGAUUUGUUACGCCGUCGCAUAGGGACUUUGAAGGCCGCUCACAAUGGUCUUCGGACGACGUCUAUCAAACUUGACCUCAAAUCAGGUAGGACUACCCGCUGAACUUAAGCAUAUCAAUAAGCGGAGGA